ACAGAGAAUUGCGCCGUGCCCGAACUCUCUCUAGCCCGAGAUUCCCGCCGCGUCUCUCUCGCUCGUGAUUUUACACUUCUGUUUCGUACAAAGUUCUCGGCUCGGCAGAUAGUCUAUAACUGCCGCGGCGAGACUUCUCUCUUUUUAACCUCCGGUUUUCCGCAAAAGCUAAUAAAGAAAAUUGUUUCGUAUCGUCCCCAAAAUCUCGUAUCAUUAUUGUAGCUGCUCCCCUUUGCACAAACAAUUAUUAAGGCAAAGAGAGACUUCUUGUUGUUGAGUUUAUGCCUAAUCAGACUUUGGCCAGUUCUUGAACUUAUUGUAAGGACUCAAAUCCAAGACUUUCGUGCUUUGGUCUGAUGAAAAAUAGUAGAGACGAAUGAAUUACAGUAUCAAUCUGGCAUUCACUCCUCUUGAGUAUCUCAUAAGAAGUAUUUACUUGAAGUCUUGCAUAUCAUUUUUCUUUAUUUAGAUCACCACACUGAAUGUUUUGAAACUUACCCAAGGUUAAGUAGUUUGAGUCUGAGACAGGGUGAGUGCUUGUAACCACUGUUCCAUUUUAACACUUUGAAACAUAAGAGACAACAAAUAUUAGCGAUAAACAAAAUAGGAUUUAGUAAAAGUACAGAGAAUUAGGUGAUAUUAACUUUAUCAUCAGCGAAAAUACAUUCAAGAGUCUCCAAACUUUGACUUGGACCCUCCAAACUGUUUUGUAGCUACCAUCAUUGAUAAAAAAGUGACUAAUUUCUUAUGCUAUUGUUUGCUUUGAAUUGUGGUUUUGCGGAUAAUUGAGGAAGUGGUGAAUGGAAAUAUAACCUAUUGCUUGACUUGACGACCAGAUUUUGUAGUACAUGACACAGAUAUAUAUAGUAGAGGAUUCGUGGUGUAGGACUUUGUAACCUAUCGCUUGACUUGACGACCAAGUGUAAGUAAUUUCAAAGUUUUUGGAAAGCAAA
Capsella rubella is the source of this 953-nucleotide long non-coding RNA. RefSeq lists it as uncharacterized. The transcript is spliced from 2 exons. NCBI's taxonomy places the organism in Eukaryota, Viridiplantae, Streptophyta, Magnoliopsida, Brassicales, Brassicaceae. The record is from RefSeq and is a predicted model, not a curated record.